This 442-nucleotide ribosomal RNA is filed under the name Macoma calcarea. Its description in RNAcentral is "SSU rRNA". It matches the Rfam family "Eukaryotic small subunit ribosomal RNA", at positions 564 to 1005 of the family's 1831-position model. Lineage: Eukaryota; Metazoa; Mollusca; Bivalvia; Cardiida; Tellinidae. The record is from RNAcentral.
GUGCCAGCAGCCGCGGUAAUUCCAGCUCCAAUAGCGUAUAUUAAAGUUGCUGCGUUUAAAAAGCUCGUAGUUGGAUCUCGGUUCCAGGCCUGCGGUCCGCCUCGAGGCGGAUACUGCUCGUCCUGUGUUCGACGUCGUGGUGGUCCCUUGGUGCUCUUGACUGAGUGUCUCGGGCGGUCCCGAACGUUUACUUUGAAAAAAUUAGAGUGCUCAAAGCAGGCGUAUCGCCUGAAUAAUUCCGCAUGGAAUAAUGGAAUAGGACCUCGGUUCCAGUUUCGUUGGUUUGCGAAUCCUUGAGGUAAUGAUUAAUAGGGACUGCCGGGGGCAUACGUAUUGCGGCGGGAGAGGUGAAAUUCGUGGAUCGCCGCAAGACGAACGACAGCGAAAGCAUUUGCCAAGAAUGUUCUCAUUAAUCAAGAACGAAAGUCAGAGGUUCGAAGAC